This is a long non-coding RNA of Homarus americanus (American lobster), 1376 nucleotides long. RefSeq lists it as uncharacterized. The transcript has 2 exons. Lineage: Eukaryota; Metazoa; Arthropoda; Malacostraca; Decapoda; Nephropidae. The record is from RefSeq and is a predicted model, not a curated record.
UGGAAUGUUGACAUCACUGCUCCGACUCGCUGACGACUGCUGAGCCUCAUCUUCAAUUAAUACUCUCUUCUGUUGUAAUUUAAGCAUGCAGACCUACAGACAACACCUUGAUGACUUGUAAGAAAUAAGGAUGUUAAGUCAGCUUGAUGAUAAGAGGAAGCGAGGAUUUCAUGUAAGACGAGAUCCUUUUCAGCAUUAUAAUGAAGGAGAAUUUAAUUAGCGCUACAGAGUAUCUAAGAACAGCACCAUGGAGCUGCUUACAAAAAUCAGACAUCAUCUACUAAUGUCACUGAGCCAUAGAGGUAGUCAAAUAUUUAUGAUUUCAAUACAGUAUAGUAGUGCUUAUCAGAUGCUUGAGGAACAGCAUGAUAAAUGUCAUGAUCAUGAAAUAUGAAGUAGGUUUUUAGUGAGAGGGGGAUUAGGUUCAAUCUAAAAAACAGUACUGUACUGCAUAAAUUUUUGCCCUGUGAGUACUAAGUCCUUAAGACAUUACGAAGAAUAGUAUAGUAUCUUUUCUUUCUUUCAUUCCUUUCAGGCAUUCCAAUUCCUCCAGUUUUACAGCUACUGGUUGCCAUGAGAUACAAGGCUACAGGAAAUUUUCAAAUAACUCUGGGAGACUGUUCAGACAUGUCUCAACCAAGUGUUAGCAAAUGUGUCCGGAAUGUUUCUGCUUCUAUUGCCACUCUUGCACCAGGUUAUAUUAAAUUCCCCUUUCCUGACCGAGAGAAGAUGAUUUCCUGCAGGAAUUUGCCUCUAUUGCUGGAAUGCCAGGUGUGAUAGGCUGCAUAGAUGGGACUCACAUUCCAAUCAAGAGCCCUUGAAAGUCAAAUCCUGAACUCCACAGGAGUUGAAAGAAUUUCUUCUCCAUUAAUGUCAUGGGCGUAUGUGAUGCACACAUGAAAUUUACAAACCUUGUCGUAAACUGGCCGGGCAGUACUCAUGACUCCCGCAUAUUCACAACGUCAAGACUUUGUGAAAGUCUGCAGGUCGGUGAACAUCGAGGCUUUAUCCUUGGUGAUAGUGGAUAUGCGUUGCGUCCAUACUUACUCACUCCAAUCCAUAAUCAAGCUAAUGAAAAGCAGAGGAAAUAUAACAGAUCUCAUUUUAAAACAAGAACUACAAUUGAAAGGACAUUUGGGGUGUGGAAGAGGAGAUUUGCUGUACUGCAGCAUGUAAGAGCAAAGCUGUCUACUACUAAAAAUAUUAUAAUUGCAUGUGCAGUUCUCCAUAUUAUGGCUUUGAUUUCUGGACUUCCACUGGACAUAAAAGACAUGCAUUUAGAAGACCCUGACGACCCUGAAGAAAUGAUCAGAUAUGGAAAUUAUGAAGGUCAAGCAAGGAGGGAGUAUAUAGUGGAGCAUUUUUUUUUAAUUAAA